This 97-nucleotide signal recognition particle RNA is filed under the name Bermanella marisrubri. RNAcentral's name for it is "Bacterial small signal recognition particle RNA". It matches the Rfam family "Bacterial small signal recognition particle RNA". Rfam says of the family: The signal recognition particle (SRP) is a universally conserved ribonucleoprotein involved in the co-translational targeting of proteins to membranes. Archaeal SRP consists of a 7S RNA and homologues of the eukaryotic SRP19 and SRP54 proteins. In most bacteria, the SRP consists of a 4.5S RNA and the Ffh protein (a homologue of the eukaryotic SRP54 protein). Lineage: Bacteria; Pseudomonadati; Pseudomonadota; Gammaproteobacteria; Oceanospirillales; Oceanospirillaceae. The record is from Rfam by way of RNAcentral.
CUCUGGUCCCCCCGCAAUAAUAAACUGUGAACCCCGCCAGGCCCGGAAGGGAGCAACGGUAGCAGUGGACUUAUGUGCCGGGGUGUGGCUGGAGGUC